This 282-nucleotide unclassified non-coding RNA is filed under the name plant metagenome. RNAcentral's name for it is "partial contains small subunit ribosomal RNA and internal transcribed spacer 1". The stretch from base 1 to 46 matches the Rfam family "Eukaryotic small subunit ribosomal RNA", at positions 1786 to 1831 of the family's 1831-position model. The record is from RNAcentral.
AAGUCGUAACAAGGUAACCGUAGGUGAACCUGCGGUUGGAUCAUUAAAAAAGAUAAAAUUUUGCGGUUAGUCGAGACGGUUUGGAAUCUGGGGUGAUGCUUUGUUUAGCUUAUGGCUGACGAGGUAUAGCUCUUGUACGAUAGACACGUUUCCUGGCUGUGAAUUUUUCCUUCAACCACCUGUGCACACUUUAUUGUAUUUUGGGCAAGACUCUGUUUUUGCCCAGCCGUUUUUUAACACCUCUUUAAUUUUUGCCUGAAAUUAUUUUAUAAAUAAUAACAA